ACGGAAGGCAGCAGUGGGGAAUAUUGGACAAUGGGGGAAACCCUGAUCCAGCGACGCCGCGUGAGUGAAGAAGUAUUUCGGUAUGUAAAGCUCUAUCAGCAAGGAAGAAAAUGACGGUACUUGACUAAGAAGCUCCGGCUAAAUACGUGCCAGCAGCCGCGGUAAUACGUAUGGAGCAAGCGUUAUCCGGAUUUACUGGGUGUAAAGGGAGCGUAGACGGCAAAGCAAGUCUGAAGUGAAAUCCCGGGGCUCAACCCCGGAACUGCUUUGGAAACUGUUUAGCUAGAGUGCUGGAGAGGUAAGCGGAAUUCCUAGUGUAGCGGUGAAAUGCGUAGAUAUUAGGAGGAACACCAGUGGCGAAGGCGGCUUACUGGACUGUAACUGACGUUGAGGCUCGAAAGCGUGGGGAGCAAACAGGAUUAGAUACCCUGGUA
RNAcentral lists this ribosomal RNA (434 nucleotides) under uncultured Lachnospiraceae bacterium. Its description in RNAcentral is "partial 16S ribosomal RNA". It matches the Rfam family "Bacterial small subunit ribosomal RNA", at positions 341 to 792 of the family's 1533-position model. The record is from RNAcentral. Lineage: Bacteria; Bacillati; Bacillota; Clostridia; Lachnospirales; Lachnospiraceae.